This is a long non-coding RNA of Herpailurus yagouaroundi (jaguarundi), 478 nucleotides long. RefSeq lists it as uncharacterized. The record is from RefSeq and is a predicted model, not a curated record. NCBI's taxonomy places the organism in Eukaryota, Metazoa, Chordata, Mammalia, Carnivora, Felidae. The transcript has 2 exons.
UCCUCGAGGCUCCAGGAUGCUGGGGGCCCUGCCUUGUGGGUGAUGUGCUGAAACGCCUUCCUGGUCCACCAGCGAGAUGGCCUGCCCCCGGCGUCCCUGGGGACCAGGGUCCCUCUGACCCAGGAAGCGUGGCUCCGCCCUAUCACUGCCAGGCCAGGAGGCGGAGGGGGAGCACAGGCAGACCGUGAGAACCUCUGGAUUCCUCUCAACAGAGAGUCGUGAGAUCGUCCAGCCUUUGGAACAUUAUUCUCCCUUGUCUGCGCUUGAGAGAUCAGUUUGUGGAAUGGCGUGCUCUUUACCUGCUUGGACUCAAGGUUACCAUGUGGGACGACACAGCUCCAGAUGCCUGUAAGAUUCUUGGGGGCGAUGUGGCAGGAUGAACAAAAAUUGGUCCUCCUUCCGAGAAUUUCUCGCCAGUGUGUUAACACCUGUGUAAAAAGUGUCUUGGGCCAAAAAAACACACAGAAUCAUCCAACAA